This 147-nucleotide non-coding RNA is filed under the name Pan troglodytes (chimpanzee). Lineage: Eukaryota; Metazoa; Chordata; Mammalia; Primates; Hominidae. The record is from Rfam by way of RNAcentral.
GCUGGGCGUGGUGGCGCCUACCUGUAAUCCCAGCACUGGGGAAGCUGAGGCAGGAGAAUCGCUUGAACCCAGGAGCUGGAGGCUGCAGUGAGCCGAGAUUGUGCCACUGCACUCCAGCCUGGGUGACAGUGUGAGACCCUGUCUCAA